This 302-nucleotide ribosomal RNA is filed under the name uncultured bacterium. Its description in RNAcentral is "bacterial SSU rRNA". It matches the Rfam family "Bacterial small subunit ribosomal RNA", at positions 29 to 334 of the family's 1533-position model. The record is from RNAcentral.
AUGAACGCUGGCGGCGCGCCUAACACAUGCAAGUCGAACGGCACCCACCUCCGGGUGGAAGCGAGUGGCGAACGGCUGAGUAACACGUGGAGAACCUGCCCCCUCCCCCGGGAUAGCCGCCCGAAAGGACGGGUAAUACCGGAUACCCCGGGGCGCCGCAUGGCGCCCCGGCUAAAGCCCCGACGGGAGGGGAUGGCUCCGCGGCCCAUCAGGUAGACGGCGGGGUGACGGCCCACCGUGCCGACAACGGGUAGCCGGGUUGAGAGACCGACCGGCCAGAUUGGGACUGAGACACGGCCCAG